This 488-nucleotide long non-coding RNA is filed under the name Homo sapiens (human). RNAcentral's name for it is "non-protein coding lnc-WNT4-4:1". Lineage: Eukaryota; Metazoa; Chordata; Mammalia; Primates; Hominidae. The record is from RNAcentral.
AUGGCACCUGAGCACAAGACCAAGUUCUCCAAGAACCUGCUGUACAUGAAGUUCAUGCAAAGAAGACUGGACUCAGAAACUAAGAAAUGACUAGAAGAGGAAGAAAAUAAAAUUAGUUAAGAGCACUGGUACUCAGAUUUGCCAGAGCUUAAUAAGUAAAGAAUUUCAUAACAGAAGAGCAGCAUCUCUUGUUAUGUGAAGAUCAUUUCUAUGGAAGGAAUUUCAUUCAUCAGAUUUACUCCUGAGGUUGAGAAAUUAGUGCUUCAGGUGAAUACUAAGAACAAAGCAGAAAUUGAAGAUGAAACAGUGGAAUUUUACGUGUCAGAUGAAGAAGAAAUGGCUAGAAGAAAUGGCUAGAAUAUGAGACCUUGGUGGGGACAACAGGAAAAAAGUCUGCCAAAAAGGGAGAUCAAGCCAAUUAUGAAGACAAUGAAAAUGGAGACCUACAACUAAUUAAAGCAAAGAAAAUGUUCUUAAAGCCCCGGGAU